AAUCGAACCAAGAGCUAGCUGGUUCUCCCCGAAAUGCGUUUAGGCACAGCGUUGGAUUUAUCUUGCAGGAGGUAGAGCACUGGUUUUGUGCGGGCGUCGAAAUGAUGUACCAAACAAUGUCAAACUCCGAAUACCUGUAAUGUCAUUAUCCAGCAGUGAGGCUAUGAGUGAUAAGAUCCAUGGCCAAGAGGGAAACAGCCCAGAACGCCAGUUAAGGUCCCUAAUAUAUGCUAAGUGGUUAAGGAGGUAGAGUUACUGAGACAACCAGGAGGUUGGCUUAGAAGCAGCCAUCCCUUGAAAGAGUGCGUAAUAGCUCACUGGUCAAGUGACUCCGCGCCGAAAAUACACCGGGACUAAAGCAUAUAACCGAAGCUGCGUCAUAUAGUUUACUAUAUGGGUAGGGGAGCGUACUGUAGUAAGACGAAGCUAGAGUGAAAACACUAGUGGAUGAGGCAGUAGUGAGAAUGUCGGCAUAAGUAGCGAAAACAUUGGUGAGAAUCCAAUGCACCGAAAACCUAAGGUUUCCCACGGCAGGCUCGUCCGCGUGGGGUUAGUCGGAUCCUAAGCUCAGGCCAAACGGCGUAGGCGAUGGACAAUAGGUUGAUAUUCCUAUACUAUCUGAUAAUCGUUAUCAGAAGCGGAGGGACGCAAGAGGAUAAGCACGCAGUCGACUGGAAGAGACUGUAUAAGCGUGUAGCUAGGUUUGACAGGAAAAUCCGUCAAAUCGUUAAUGUGAGGCGUGAUGUGGAGAGUCUACGGACUCGAAGGUGUUGACUCCAAAUUGCCAAGAAAAUCUUCGCUCUCGAGAUUAUUGGGUAUCCGUACCGUAAACCGCCACAGGUAGGUUGGUAGAAAAUACUAAGGUGCGCGAGACAACUCUCGCUAAGGAACUCGGCAAAAUCACCUCGUAACUUCGGGAGAAGAGGUACCCUGGUAGCGUGAAGCGAUUUACUCGUGAAGCGUGAUAGGGUCGCAGUGAAUAGGCCCAAGCGACUGUUUACCAAAAACACAGGUCUCUGCUAAGUCGAUCAAGACGAUGUAUAGGGGCUGACGCCUGCCCGGUGUCGGAAGGUUACGCGGAAAUGUUAGAAGCAAUUCAAAGCAUCGAAGCUAAGCCCCGAUGAACGGCGGCCGUAACUAUAACGGUCCUAAGGUAGCGAAAUUCCUUGUCAGGUAAGUUCUGACCCGCACGAAUGGCGUAACGAUUUGGGCGCUGUCUCGGCGAGAGGCUCGGCGAAAUUGGAUUAUCCGUGAAGAUACGGAUUACGUGUACCAGGACAGAAAGACCCUAUUGAGCUUUACUGUAGCUUGAAAUUGAAUUCGGGUUCUCAUUGCGCAGUAUAGGUGGGAGACUAAGAAGCUUGAACUUUGGUUUAAGUGGAGUCAUCGUUGAGAUACCACUCUGUGAAAAUUUGGAUUCUAACCUUGAUCCCUCAAAGAACAGGGCAAGGGACAGUUUCUGGUAGGCAGUUUGACUGGGGCGGUCGCCUCCUAAAAAGUAACGGAGGCGUUCAAAGGUUCCCUCAGGUUGGUCGGAAAUCAACCGUUGAGUGCAAUAGCAAAAGGGAGCUUGACUGUGAGACCUACAAGUCGAGCAGGUACGAAAGUAGGAUAUAGUGAUCCGGUGGUUCUGCAUGGAAGGGCCAUCGCUCAUCGGAUAAAAGUUACCAUAGGGAUAACAGGCUUAUCUCCCCCAAGAGUCCACAUCGACGGGGAGGUUUGGCACCUCGAUGUCGGCUCGUCGCAUCCUGGGGCUGAAGUAGGUCCCAAGGGUUGGGCUGUUCGCCCAUUAAAGCGGCACGCGAGCUGGGUUCAGAACGUCGUGAGACAGUUCGGUCCAUAUCCGGUAUACGCGCAAGAGAUUUGAACGGAGUCUUCCUUAGUACGAGAGGACCGGGAAGAGGGGACCUCCAGUGUACGGGUUAUUCUGCCAAGAGUAAACGCCCGGUAGCUGUGUUCCAAGCGGAUAAGUGCUGAAAGCAUAUAAGUACGAAGCCCACCGUAAGAUGAGAUUUCUCAUAGCAUAAGCUAGUAAGUCCCGUUGCAGAUUACAACGUUGAUAGGUCGCAGGUGUAAGAGUGGCAACAUUUUCAGCCGAGCGAUACUAAUAGGACGAGGGCUUUCCUU
RNAcentral lists this ribosomal RNA (2127 nucleotides) under human gut metagenome. RNAcentral describes it as "bacterial LSU rRNA". It matches the Rfam family "Bacterial large subunit ribosomal RNA", at positions 831 to 2925 of the family's 2925-position model. The record is from RNAcentral.